Molecule: ribosomal RNA, 292 nt
Filed under: uncultured bacterium
Lineage: Bacteria
Description: partial 16S ribosomal RNA
Source: RNAcentral
GGACUACACGGGUUUCUAAUCCUUUUUGCUCCCCACGCUUUCGCGUCUCAGAGUCAGGAAGGUCCCAGUGCAAUGCCUUCGCCUUUGGUGUUCCCCACGAUAUCAACGGAUUUCACCCCUACACCGUGAGUUCCAUGCACCUCUAACCUCCUCUAGUUCUGCCGUAUCUUCUGCACUUCCACCGUUGGGCGGUGGGCUUUAACAGAAGACGCACAAAACCUCCUACACGCGCUUUACGCCCAAUAAAUCCGGAUAACGCUUGAGGUCUACGUUUUACCGCGGCUGCUGGCAC